AUUGAACGCUGGCUGCAGGCCUAACACAUGCAAGUCUAACGUUUGGCGGACGUGUGAGUAAUGUCUGUGAAACUGCCCGCUGUAGGGGGAUAACUACUGGAACCGGUCGCUAAUACCGCAUUCCAUCGGAUGUUCCCUCAUGGGAUUAGCUAGUAGGUGGGGUAAAGGCUCACCUAGGAGACGAUCCCUAGCUGGUCUGAGGGGAUGACCAGCCACACUGGAACUGAGACACGGUCCAGACUCCUACGGGAGGCAGCAGUGGGGAAUAUUGCACAAUGGGCGCAAGCCUGAUGCAGCGAUGCAGCGUGUAUGAGGAAGGACUUCGGGUUGUAAAGUACUUUCAGCGGGGAGGCGUUACCCGCAGAAGAAGCACCGGCUAACUCCGUGCCAGCAGCCGCGGUAAUAC
Molecule: ribosomal RNA, 406 nt
Filed under: uncultured bacterium
Lineage: Bacteria
Description: partial 16S ribosomal RNA
Rfam family: Bacterial small subunit ribosomal RNA
Source: RNAcentral